CCUAACCGUGAAGCACGGGGGUGGCAUUAUCAUGUUGUUGGGGUGCUUUGCUGCAGGAGGGACUGGUGCACUUCACAAAAUAGAUGGCUUCAUUAGGGAGGAAAAUUCUGUGGAUAUAUUGAAGCAACAUCUCAAGACAUCGGUCAGGAAGUUAAAGCUUGGUCACAAAUGGACAAUGACCCCAAGCAUACUUCUAAAGUUGUGGCAAAAUGGCUUAAGGACAACAAAGUCAAGGUAUUGGAGUGGCCAUCACAAAGCCCUGACCUCAAUCCUAUAGAAAAUUUGUGGGCAGAACUGAAAAAGGUGUGUGCGAGCAAGGUGGCCUACAAACCUUACACCAGCUCCAUCAGAAGGAAUGGGCCAACAUUCACCCAACUUAAUGUGGGAAGCUUGUGGAAGGCUACCCAAAACGUUUGACUCUAGUUAAACAAUUUAAAGGCAAUGCUACCAAAUACUAAUUGAGUGUAUGUAAACUUCCGACCCACUGACAAUGUGAUGAAGUAAUUAAUAGCUUAAUAAUUAAUAGCUUAAAUAAAUCUCUACUAUUAUUCUGACAUUUCACAUUCUUAAAAUAAAGUGGUGAUCCUAACUGACCUAAGACACAGAAUUUUACUUGAAUUAAAUGUCAGAAAUUGUGAAAAACUGAGUUUAAAUGUAUUUCUCUAAGGUGUAUGUAAACGUCUGACUUCAACUGCACAUAUGAUAUGAGUAAUGGAAGAUAUGUAAACAUUUAAGUGGUAUUGUUGAAAGUAACUGAUCUAUUUAUUAUAGUGGCCAGUGAUUGGGUCUCAAUGUAGACAGCAGCCUCUCUGACUUAGUGAUUGCUGUUUAGUAGUCUGAUGGCCUUGAGAGAGAAGCUGUUUUUCAGUCUCUAAGGUCCCAGCUUUGAUGCACCUGUACUGACCUUGCUGUCUGAUCUUGAUGAUCUUGUUGGCCUUCCUGUGACAUCGGAUGCUGUAGGUGUCAUGGAGGGCAGGUAGUUUGCCCCGGGUGAUGUGUUGUGCAGACCGCACCACCUUCUGGGGAGCCUUGUGGUUGAGGGCGGUGCAGUUGCGGUACCAGGCUGUAGUCCAGCCCGACAGUAUACUCUCAAUUGUGCAUAUGUAAAAGUUUGUCAGGGUUUUGGGUGACAAGCCAAAUUUCUUCAGCCCCCUGAGGUUGAAGAGGCGCUGUUGCGCCUUCUUCACCACACUGUGUGUGUGAGUGGACCAUUUUCAGGUUGUCUGUGAUGUGUACGCCAAGGAAUUCUCCACCUUCUCCACUACUGUCCCUUCGAUGUGGAUAGGGGGGUGCUCCCUCUUCUGUUUCCUGAAGUCCUCGAUCAUUUUGUUUUGUUGACGUUGAGUGAGGUUGUUUUCCUGACACCACACUCCGAAUGACCUCCCAUCCUUCCUGUAGGCUGUCUCGUUGUUGUUGGUAAUCAUGCCCACUACUGUUGGGUCGUCUGCAAACUAAAAGAUUUAAUUUGAGGCGUGCAGUCCUUUUUAGCUGGCCGUGAUGGUGGUGCUGUAUUAUCCUCAAAGCGGGCAAAGAAGGUGUUUAGUUUGUCUGGAAGCGUGACAUCGUUGUCCGUGACAUGGCUGUUUUACUUUUUGUAGUCUCUGAUUUCCUGUAGACCCUGCCACAUUCAUCUCGUGUCUGAACCGUUGAAUUCCGACUCUACUUUGUCUCUGUACUGGCAUUUCUCUUGUUUGAAUGCCUUGCGGAGGGAAUAACUACACUGUUAAUUUUCAGGCAUAUUCGCAAACCUCUUCAAGGUUAAAUGCGGUGGUUUGUGCUUUCAGUUUUGCACGAAUUCCGCCAUCAAUCCACGGUGUCUGGUUAGGAUAGGUUCUAAUAGUCAGUGGGUACAACAUCUCAAAUGCACUUCUUUAUAAACUCACUCAUUGAGUCAGCGGAUAGAUCGAUGAUAUCUGAGGCUGACCGGAACAUAUCCCAGUCCGCGUGAUCAAAACAAUCUUGAAGCGUGGAUUCUGAUCGGUCUGACCAGUCUUGAAUGGUUCUAGUCAUUGGUACAUCCUGUUUGAGUUUCUGCCUAUAGGAGCAAGAUAGCGUCGUGGUUGGAUUUGCCGAAGGGAGGGCUUUGUAUGCAUUGCGGAAGUUAGUAGCAGUGAUUGAAUGUUUUACACCUGCGCGUAGUGCAAUCAAUAUGCUUAUAGAAUUUAGGUAUCCUUGUUCUCAAAUUUGCUUUGUUAAAAUCCACAGCUACAAUAAAUGCAGCUUCAGGAUAUAUGGUUUCCAGUUUACAUAGAGUCCAGUGAAGUUCCAGGAAGGGCUGUCUUGGUGUCUAUUUGAGGGGGAAUGUACACAGCUGUGACGAUAACUGAUGAGAAUUCUCUUUGGGAAGUAAUAUGGCCGGCAUUUGAUUGUAAGGAAUUCUAGGUCGGGUGAAUAGAAGGACUUGAGUUCCUGUAUGUUUUUAUGAUUACACCAUGAGCCAUUAAUCAUGACGCAUACACUCCUGCAUACACUCUUUGUUGGCGCGAUGCACAGAGAAGCCCGGUGGCUGAACCGAUUCCGACAACAUAUCCUGAGAGAGCCAUGUACCUGUGAAACAGAGAAUGUUACAAUCUCGGUCUCUCUGGAAGGCAACCCUUGCUCGAAUUUCAUCUACCUUGUUGUCAAGAGACUGGAGAUUGGCGAGUAAUAUACUCGGGAGCAGUGGGCGACGUGCACGUCUACGGAGCCUGACCAGGAGGCUGCCCCUUCUUGUUUUGGGUCGGCUUCUGGGAUUAGAUCCAUUAUCCUGGGUGGUGGUCCAAACACAGGAUCCGCUUCGAGAAAGUCGUAUUCCUUGUCGUAAUGUUGGUAAGUUGACGUCACUCUUAUAUUCAAUAGUUCUUCCCGGCUGUAUGUAAUAAGAUCUAAGAUUUCCUGGGGUAACAAUGUAAGAAAUAAUACAUAACAAAAUACUGCAUAGUUUCCUAAGGACUCGGAAGCGAUCAUCUCUGUCGGCACCAUUUUGUUUUUGGUUGCAGGUUCAGGAACCGCUGAAGAAUUGCAACUUUUACCUGGAGCUAACUCUGCAAAUAGCACUGCUGGGUGAUUUUUAAAAAGUCAUAGUCAAUUAAUUGAAUAAUACUUUUAGCAAUGUUUCUUUAAUUUACAGUAUGUAGAAUCUAUGAGAAUAGAAAGGUUCAGAACCUUUGUAAAACAGCAAAGUUUUUUUAUAUAUAUAUAUGGAAACUAGAAAUCAACUGGAUGGUGUUCAUAGAUCGAUGGAACGGGUUGAGUGGAGCUGAAGGAUGGGACUAAAAACAAACAAAAGAUAACUAUUGUAAAAUAUACUGUGUCUGUGAAAUGUAUGUAUAAGCUGGAAGUAGAAGCCUAAGUGUUGUCCAUUUAGUUUACUCCAGUUAAGGGUGGGGUGGUAGCGUUAGGGGAAAAUAAUAAAAUAACAUCUAUUUUAAAAAGAUAUAAUUAUAAUGUUGGAUUGGAAAUAAUGCACACUAUUACAUUGAUGGAAGCCACAAUCUAUCUGUAAUUUUGAAGCUGAUCUACCCCCUGAUUUGUGUAUAUAUAUUAUAUAUUUUUUUAUUAUUAUAAUAGCUAGCUAGUGUUUAACAUUACUUGCUAACACUAAUAUCUAACUUCCACAGAUUAAAGGUGUUAUCAAAAAUGUUGCUAAUACACUAGCUAAUAGUAAAUUAGUCUUAAGUGCAAUAUGCAGAAAUCACAACGCCAUUACCUGGUUGCUAAAAUUCUAAUAGUUAGCCUAAUAUCUGUUUGUGACAAAGCAUACAAUGUAUAGUGUAGAGAAUAAUUGUACCAUCUAAACCGCUGUGAAAUAUAUUUCAAAAACCCAAACAUUUUAUUUUCAGCUGUUUUGAAGUUGGUGUACAAAACCGAAAGUAAAAGACGCGAAAAUGAAACUUAAGAACAGGAAUCAUAAAAUGACCUCCGAUAUACAGCUUCUUAGACUUGCUUUCAAUGGGGGAUUGGAACUUGUUGGGGAGAGUAUCUUAGAAGAGGUACAUAUUCAUUGAACCAUUGUGGGGGAAAAUCUGGCUAACCAUCCUUUUCAUAUUCCGGAUGCUCGUACUUGGUGUGGCAGCAGAGGAUGUUUGGGACGAUGAGCAGUGAGUUUGUAUGCAACACGGACAAGCCUGGGUCGCCCAAAUCUCCCCAAAAAUUGCAUAUUGCAGCUUUACAAUUGGAGCCAUGUGUGCUGACAAAGGAUGCAAGCUAGCUCAUUUAUCAUCUACCUAGCUAGGGACAACUCGCUAACUAGCGUGUUAAUCCAAAAACGCUAGCUAAACAAAUUCCAGGGAAAUUCUGCCAAGUUGAUGUUAGCUAGCGGCUACAGUUUGCCUGCUAUAGCGAAGCUAACUAUCCAUCAAGCGUGACCUACUUAGCUAGCUAACUAUAUUAUGCCAAAUAUUAUCUUGUCCUAAAUCGUCUAGCAGAACGUUUUACCUAAUGCUAACUAGCUAACAUUUCCUAGCUAGCUAGGACAGACGUGCUAGCAAGAUAGCUAGCUACUUUGCUAGCUGAGCAGUUUGCUAAAUCAUCCAGCAGAACUUCUGUAUCAAAACGUGAAACUAAUUGCAUAGAUAAUUUAUCCUCUCUCUGUCGUCAUUUCCAUCUUGUGAACAGUUUUAUUUCGCGCAAUAUUUUCCUGGGCUUUGCACACGACGCACUGUAAUGUCAGUGUCAACACAUUCUGGGCAUGUCCCAUGUUGUCUUUAUAAGUGUGUUUCACAGAUGGGCAGAUCUCACAAAAUUGGGCAGUUCUCCGAAACCAGCGAACCAAUAAUAUGGCUUGAGAUGUUCUGACGAGGCCUUCAUUCCUGGAAUAAAUAAGUGUACCAAUCCAUCAUCAUUGUUUCAAAUGUGGGGCAUGACACAUCAUGGGAGUUGACCAUUGGUGUGAAAGCCAACCAUUUCUGUUCCUGGGACAGAACAACAAUGUAUCACACCAAAAAAUUGCGAAGCGAUUUUCCCAACUGAUGAAGCUUUUUAAGAAGAAGGAGAAGAUGGCAAACUGACUUCUGAAUGUUUUUUUUAUUCGAUGAAGAUUUCACUUACCAGGCUCCUUAUACUCUCAGACGUUUCAAGGUCAAGACUUGAAUGUCCCAUUUGAUGAAUGAGUGGAAGCAGAUCUGAAUGUGAUGCCUGUAAUUAAUGGACUUGGAACUAAUGAACACAGUCAACUAGAACUCCAACUGAAAUGUGUUUUUGUGCUGUGGUCAGUAAGGAUCUGAAUAUCCAUGAGGUAAAAUCCACACAGGCGUCAAUAUUCAAUAUUAUCGCCCCACAGCCAAAAUGAAUACAACUUGUAUAAACUGUUUUGAUACGUCUGUUGAUUUAGCAGACUUAAAUGCACUGCAUUUUUUCCCUUCCCUUUUUGUGUUUAAUCUACCAUAUUGAUCCUGGGCAAUAUCCCAUCUCAACUUCACAACUCUUAAUAUGCCUUAGCAAGGUUAUACCAUAUGAGGAGUUAAACACUUCUGCAAUCAUACAUUUAAUCAAGUAAUUAACCAAUUUUAGUUGUAAAUAACAGAAUGGUGAAUGACCUCUAAUGCUUUUAUGGAGCAUUGCAGCCUGUGCUGCUUGUACAAAAUUUGUACUAAAGUUACGUGUGCUUUUCUACUUCAACAUAAUCUGGGAGUGUUUGGAAAUAAAGAUUGGAACUACAAUUAAAAGUGACCUUUACUCUGUCACAUGGCAGAAAGUGCAUUUUACUGUAUUAUAUAUUGCAUUGACUUAAAGAUGUUCAGUUAAAUGAAAAAAUAAGCCACAUAUGUUCCAUUUUAGGUAUGAUUCAAGGUCUUACGUUUAUAGAAAUGAAGGAUUUGACCAAGUACACAUUUCUUGACUGCUUAGAUUUUUAUUUGGUUGAUUUUGGUUUUGGAUGAUUGUGAAUAAGUGACAUGGUUAAGAAAUAUACAUUGUGUAGCCUAUAUUGUACAUAUUUUGGUUUUGAAAAUAAAGUUUAUUUAUUUAACAUG
Long non-coding RNA from Oncorhynchus tshawytscha (Chinook salmon), 5951 nucleotides. Lineage: Eukaryota; Metazoa; Chordata; Actinopteri; Salmoniformes; Salmonidae. The record is from Ensembl.